GCCAUCAUUUAAAGAAAGCGUAAUAGCUCACUGGUCGAGUCGGCCUGCGCGGAAGAUGUAACGGGGCUAAACCAUGCACCGAAGCUGCGGCAGCGACACGUAAGUGUUGUUGGGUAGGGGAGCGUUCUGUAAGCCUGCGAAGGUGUGCUGUGAGGCAUGCUGGAGGUAUCAGAAGUGCGAAUGCUGACAUAAGUAACGAUAAAGCGGGUGAAAAACCCGCUCGCCGGAAGACCAAGGGUUCCUGUCCAACGUUAAUCGGGGCAGGGUGAGUCGACCCCUAAGGCGAGGCCGAAAGGCGUAGUCGAUGGGAAACGGGUUAAUAUUCCCGUACUCGGUGUUACUGCGAAGGGGGGACGGAGAAGGCUAGACCAGCCGGGCGACGGUUGUCCCGGUUCAAGCGUGUAGGUGGGAAGAAUUGGUAAAUCCGUUCUUCUGUCAACACUGAGGCGUGAUAACGAGGCACUACGGUGCUGAAGUGGUUGAUGCCCUGCUUCCAGGAAAAGCCUCUAAGCAUCAGGUAACAGUGAAUCGUACCCCAAACCGACACAGGUGGUCAGGUAGAGAAUACUCAGGCGCUUGAGAGAACUCGGGUGAAGGAACUAGGCAAAAUGGUGCCGUAACUUCGGGAGAAGGCACGCUGGCGCUAGGUGACGGGACUUGCUCCCCGAGCCGAAGCCAGUCGCAGAUACCAGCUGGCUGCAACUGUUUAAUAAAAACACAGCACUGUGCAAACACGAAAGUGGACGUAUACGGUGUGACGCCUGCCCGGUGCUGGAAGGUUAAUUGAUGGGGUUAGCGGCAACGCGAAGCUCUUGAUCGAAGCCCCAGUAAACGGCGGC
RNAcentral lists this ribosomal RNA (839 nucleotides) under Xenorhabdus bovienii. RNAcentral describes it as "bacterial LSU rRNA". It matches the Rfam family "Bacterial large subunit ribosomal RNA", at positions 1115 to 1934 of the family's 2925-position model. Lineage: Bacteria; Pseudomonadati; Pseudomonadota; Gammaproteobacteria; Enterobacterales; Morganellaceae. The record is from RNAcentral.